RNAcentral lists this ribosomal RNA (253 nucleotides) under uncultured bacterium. RNAcentral's name for it is "partial 16S ribosomal RNA". It matches the Rfam family "Bacterial small subunit ribosomal RNA", at positions 524 to 776 of the family's 1533-position model. The record is from RNAcentral.
UACGUAGGGACCAAGCGUUGUUCGGAUUUACUGGGCGUAAAGGGCGCGUAGGCGGCGCGGUAAGUCACUUGUGAAAUCUCUGAGCUUAACUCAGAACGGCCAAGUGAUACUGCAGUGCUUGAGUGUGGUAGAGGCAAUCGGAAUUCCAGGUGUAGCGGUGAAAUGCGUAGAUAUCUGGAAGAACACCGGUGGCGCAAGCGGAUUGCUGGGCCAUAACUGACACUGAGGAACGAAAGCUAGGGGAGCGAAUGGG